UACGGAGGAUCCAAGCGUUAUCCGGAUUUAUUGGGUUUAAAGGGUCCGUAGGCGGAUGAUUAAGUCAGAGGUGAAAUCCUGCAGCUCAACUGUAGCAUUGCCUUUGAUACUGGUUGUCUUGAGUAUAUUUGAAGUGGGCGGAAUGUGUCAUGUAGCGGUGAAAUGCAUAGAUAUGACACAGAACACCGAUUGCGAAGGCAGCUCACUAAGAUACAACUGACGCUGAUGGACGAAAGCGUGGGUAGCAAACAGGAUUAGAUACCCUGGUAGUCCACGCUGUAAACGAUGAUCACUCGCUGUUGGCAAUUACUUGUCAGCGGCCAAGCGAAAGCAUUAAGUGAUCCACCUGGGGAGUACGUUCGCAAGAAUGAA
This 372-nucleotide ribosomal RNA is filed under the name uncultured bacterium. RNAcentral describes it as "bacterial SSU rRNA". It matches the Rfam family "Bacterial small subunit ribosomal RNA", at positions 524 to 898 of the family's 1533-position model. The record is from RNAcentral.